Ailuropoda melanoleuca (giant panda) is the source of this 73-nucleotide non-coding RNA. The record is from Rfam. NCBI's taxonomy places the organism in Eukaryota, Metazoa, Chordata, Mammalia, Carnivora, Ursidae.
GCCUGGCUGGUUCAGUCAGUGGAGCAUGUGACUCUUGAUCUCGGGGUUGUGAGUUCAAGCCCCAUGUUGGGUA